RNAcentral lists this ribosomal RNA (226 nucleotides) under uncultured bacterium. Its description in RNAcentral is "partial 16S ribosomal RNA". It matches the Rfam family "Bacterial small subunit ribosomal RNA", at positions 109 to 334 of the family's 1533-position model. The record is from RNAcentral.
AGUAACGCGUGAGGAACCUGCCUCAAAGAGGGGACAACAGUUGGAAACGACUGCUAAUACCGCAUAAGCCCACGGCUCGGCAUCGAGCAGAGGGAAAAGGAGCAAUCCGCUUUGAGAUGGCCUCGCGUCCGAUUAGCUAGUUGGUGAGGUAAUGGCCCACCAAGGCAACGAUCGGUAGCCGGACUGAGAGGUUGAACGGCCACAUUGGGACUGAGACACGGCCCAG